UACGGAGGGGGCGAGCGUUGUUCGGAAUCAUUGGGCGUAAAGGGCAUGUAGGCGGUUUGGUAAGUUAAAAGUGAAAUGCCAGGGCUCAACCUUGGAGCUGCUUUUAAUACUGCCAGACUAGAGGCUGGGAGAGGAUAGCGGAAUUCCUAGUGUAGAGGUGAAAUUUGUAGAUAUUAGGAGGAACGCCGGUGGCGAAGGCGGCUAUCUGGCUCAGUACUGACGCUGAGGUGCGAAAGCG
This 238-nucleotide ribosomal RNA is filed under the name uncultured Anaplasma sp. RNAcentral describes it as "partial 16S ribosomal RNA". It matches the Rfam family "Bacterial small subunit ribosomal RNA", at positions 524 to 761 of the family's 1533-position model. Lineage: Bacteria; Pseudomonadati; Pseudomonadota; Alphaproteobacteria; Rickettsiales; Anaplasmataceae. The record is from RNAcentral.